RNAcentral lists this ribosomal RNA (91 nucleotides) under Neobacillus niacini. Lineage: Bacteria; Bacillati; Bacillota; Bacilli; Caryophanales; Bacillaceae. RNAcentral also lists the same sequence under 2 other names. The record is from RNAcentral.
CACCCGUUCCCAUACCGAACACGGAAGUUAAGCUUCUCAGCGCCGAUGGUAGUUGGGACUUUGUCCCUGUGAGAGUAGGACGUUGCCAGGC